Molecule: ribosomal RNA, 251 nt
Filed under: uncultured prokaryote
Description: partial 16S ribosomal RNA
Rfam family: Bacterial small subunit ribosomal RNA
Source: RNAcentral
ACAGAGGCGGCAAGCGUUGUUCGGAAUUAUUGGGCGUAAAGAGCAUGUAGGCGGCUAUGUAGGUCGGUUGUGAAAGCCUUCCGCUUAACGGAAGAAUGGCGGUCGAAACUGCAUGGCUUGAGUGCGGGAGGGGAGAGUGGAACUUCUGAUAAAACAAUAAAAUGCGUAGAUAUCAGAAAGAACGUCGGCGGCGAAGCGACUCUCUAGACCGUAACUGACGCUGAGUGUGCGAAAGCUAGGGGAGCAAACGG